RNAcentral lists this ribosomal RNA (228 nucleotides) under uncultured bacterium. RNAcentral describes it as "partial 16S ribosomal RNA". It matches the Rfam family "Bacterial small subunit ribosomal RNA", at positions 568 to 795 of the family's 1533-position model. The record is from RNAcentral.
UCCGUAGGCGGGUAAUUAAGUCAGAGGUGAAAUCCCACAGCUUAACUGUGGAACUGCCUUAGAUACUGGUUAUCUUGAGUUUUAGUGAAGUAGAUAGAAUGUGUAGUGCAGCGGUGAAAUGCAUAGAUAUUACACAGAAUACCGAUUGCGAAGGCAGUCUACUAACUAACAACUGACGCUAAUGGACGAAAGCGUGGGGAGCGAACAGGAUUAGAUACCCUGGUAGUC